This 1620-nucleotide ribosomal RNA is filed under the name uncultured bacterium. RNAcentral's name for it is "bacterial SSU rRNA". It matches the Rfam family "Bacterial small subunit ribosomal RNA". The record is from RNAcentral.
AGAGUUUGAUCCUGGCUCAGAAUGAACACUGGCGGCGCGCCUAACACAUGCAAGUCGAACGAGAAAUCUCGAGCUUGCUCGAGAGAGUAAAGUGGCGCACGGGUGAGUAACGUGUAGGUAACCUGUCCUUAAAUCUGGGAUAAUCCACCGAAAGGUGGCCUAAUACUGGAUAUGGUCUUUUAGGCUUUGGCUUAGAAGAUUAAAGCUGACCUCUUUAUAAAAGUUGGCGUUUAAGGAGGGGCCUGCAUACCAUUAGCUUGUUGGUGGGGUAAAGGCCUACCAAGGCUACGAUGGUUAGCUGAUCUGAGAAGAUGACCAGCCACACUGGAACUGAAACACGGUCCAGACUCCUACGGGAGGCAGCAGUGAGGAAUAUUGCGCAAUGGGGGAAACCCUGACGCAGCGACGCCGUGUGAGUGAAGAAGGCCCUCGGGUCGUAAAGCUCUGUCAAGUGGGAAUAACGUCCCAUGAUUAAUAGUCACGGGAUCUGAAGGUACCACUAAAGGAAGCACCGGCUAACUCCGUGCCAGCAGCCGCGGUAAUACGGAGGGUGCAAGCGUUAUUCGGAAUUAUUGGGCGUAAAGAGCGUGUAGGCGGUUGGGGUAGUCAUAUGUGAAAUCCUUCUGCUCAACAGGAGAAGUGCAUGUGAAACCACCUAGCUUGAGUACGAGAGGGGAAAGUGGAAUUCCCAGUGUAGAGGUGAAAUUCGUAGAUAUUGGGAGGAACACCUGUAGCGAAGGCGACUUUCUGGAUCGAUACUGACGCUGAGACGCGAAAGCGUGGGUAGCAAACAGGAUUAGAUACCNNNNNNNNNNNNNNNNNNNNNGAUGGGAACUAGGUGUAGCGGGUAUUGAUCCCUGCUGUGCCGAAGCUAACGCAUUAAGUUCCCCCGCCUGGGGAGUACGGCCGCAAGGCUAAAACUCAAAGGAAUUGAACGGGGGCCCGCACAAGCGGUGGAGCAUGUGGUUCAAUUCGAUGCAACGCGAAAAACCUUACCUGGGUUUGACAUCCUCUGACAAUCCCUGAAAGGGGACCUUUCCGACUUUGUCGGAACAGAGUGACAGGUGCUGCAUGGCUGUCGUCAGCUCGUGUCGUGAGAUGUUGGGUUAAGUCCCGCAACGAGCGCAACCCUUGUCUUUAGUUGCCAAUAUUCGGUUAGGAACUCUAAAGAUACUGCCCCGGUUAACGGGGAGGAAGGUGGGGAUGACGUCAAGUCCUCAUGGCCUUUAUACCCAGGGCUACACACGUGCUACAAUGGGCUGUACAAAGGGUUGCAACCUCGCGAGUGGAAGCUAAUCUCAUAAAGCAGUCCCAAGUUCGGAUUGGAGUCUGCAACUCGACUCCAUGAAGCUGGAAUCGCUAGUAAUCGUGGAUCAGAAUGCCACGGUGAAUACGUUCCCGGGCCUUGUACACACCGCCCGUCACACCACGAAAGUUGGCUGUACCAGAAGUUGUUGGGCUAACCCGACACUCAACUCUAUGCUUAAAUCAGGCAAUUUCACCAUAUUCUCUAAUAUCGUACGGAGGAGCUACUACUAGAUGAUUUAAACACUGAGUUGAGUGGCGGGAGGCAGGCACCUAAGGUAUGGUUGAUAAUUGGGGUGAAGUCGUAACAAGGUA